Long non-coding RNA from Canis lupus familiaris (dog), 3144 nucleotides. RefSeq lists it as uncharacterized. The record is from RefSeq and is a predicted model, not a curated record. The transcript has 2 exons. NCBI's taxonomy places the organism in Eukaryota, Metazoa, Chordata, Mammalia, Carnivora, Canidae.
CGAUCCUGGGACUCCAGGAUCGCGCCCUGGACCAAAGGCAGGUGCUAAACCACUGAGCCACCCAGGGAUCCCCUCACUACUUCUUAUAUUACAAUUUUUUUGAAGUUGUCAAGGCAGCACCUUUGCCCUCAGCUAUCUCGGCCCAACAGGCUAAAUGAUAUGCUCUUGCUUAGACCUACAUUUUAGCCAAGGGCAAAACUGCAGAUAUCUAUACUGAUAGCAGGUAGGCCUUUGGAGUAGCUAACGACUUCGGAAUGCUAUAGAAACAGUGAGGCUUCCUUACUUCUAGUGGGGACAAAAUUAAAAAUGGCCUUUAUGUUCAGGAAUUAUUAGAUGCCAUACUCUUGGCAGGUGCUUUGGCCAUUAUCAAGGUCCCUAUGCAUUCCAAACUGGAUUCUUUGGAAACCAGAGAAAACCACCUUGUUGAUAUUUCCACAAUAGAUGCUGCUCUCAAAGGAACCAACAAACAAAUCUCUGUCAUGGUCCAACGGUAUGUUCCCCUUUUCAAAUGAUAAUCUAGAAAAAUUGACUAGAGAUGCCCAACAAUCAGCCCCAGGAAAGGAAAAACAAUAUUGGAAACCUAAUGACUGUAGGUUCGAUUGAAAAAAGAAAACUCUAGGUUGGGCCAAAUAAUAAUCCAGUGCUGCCAGAGACUCUAAAGUUCCCAUUACUGACUAGGGUAUAUGUAUCCAGUCAUUGGUCUGCUGAGAAAAAUGAAAACCUUUUGAGCCAAUACUAGUGAGUAAAUAUUUACAAGACCAUGGAGUGACUGCUUUGCUUGCCCCACCUGCCUGAAAUAUAAUUCAAGGAAACUUGUCUACACCGCUCCUGGACACUUUAAGUUGCCCGAUGGACCAAAGUUUGGCAGAAGUGUUUUAUUCAACUUCCCUCAUCUCAUGCCUAUAAAUAUGUCUUUGUAAUGAUUUGUAUGUUUUAUCAAUGGACUAUUUUUGUGGCUAAAAUCCUACUAGAAAAGAUCAUCCCUACCAGGGUAAUCCCCUUUCAAACUUCAUAGUGACCAGGGGACUUGCUUCAGGUUUGUGCUGUUAGGCCAUUGUUACAAAACUUCCACUGUGCUUACUACCCUUUAUCCUCAGGGCGAGUCGAACAUACUAAUGGUACCAUUAAGCAAAAUUUGUAGAGAUCCUUCAAAUACUCUGGCAAAAAGCCCUGCUGUUAGUUUUCCUACUUAUUAGGUCUACCUCUUUGGAACCUAUAAACUCUCACCCUUUGAGAUAAUCACAAGAUGGCCAGUGUAGUUGGCUCCUGCUUCUUCUGAUCCACAAAUGGUAAAGGGGGAUAUACUUCAAUAUUGCAAAGACCUAAUUGCUUCUGUUGAGAAUAACCAUGCUUUAGUAGAACAAUCUUUCCACAGUGCAUUCCCCGGAGACAAAGACUUCAAAUAUCACAGUCCAGAGAUUUCAUCUAUUGGAAAAGAUAUCUCCAGAAAGACCCUCUUCAACCCUGUUGGAAAGGCCCCUAUCAGAUUUAACUUCUUAAAUCAUCUCUCCAUCCAAUGUGGAGCUUGAACUCAUAACACCGAGAUCAAGAGUCGCAUGCUCCUCCAUCUGAGCCAUCCAGGCAUCCCCCCACCCCCAUGUGUCACACCUUAAGGAAGCACAAAACCCUGAUUAGAUCUGCACACCAACUGCAUACCUGGAAUUAAAGAUUUCCAGGAAUUGAAGCAAACGACAGCCAAAGGAGACAGCUUUCUCAAGAUGACUGGACCAGACCUGUAUACCUUUUUCUUGCUGUUGGUUCUUAAACCAUAUUUAUCCCCUUUCUUUCAUGGUCUAAUCUAUUGCAAAAGCAGAACCUUUCUGACUAUUGGAUCUGACACCAGAAAUUUUGAUUCGUUCUUCCCUAUUUAUUAUUUGUUCCCCUGCACCCAAGGGAAAUACAAACGAGCUAACUCCUCUUUGCAAGGCUUUUUAGAAAGAGUUUUAUUUAUUUGAGAGAGAGUGUGUGACAGAAAGCAAGAGAAAGCAAGCAAGCAGAGAGAGGCAGAGGGGGAGAGAAAGAGUCUGAAGCAGACUCCAUACUGAGGGUGGGGCCUGACUUGGGGCUCGAUCCCACAACUGCAAGAUCAUGACCUGAGCUGAAACCAAGAGACUGAUGCUCAACUGACUGAGCCACUUAGGUGCCCCUGCAAGGCUUUUAGAAAAGACCACUUUAGGUGGGAUGGUUCCUUCCAGAAGUUCUCCUCAUCUUAUUCUAUAUAAUUAUUUUUUAAAAGAUCUUAUUUUUAAAUAAUCUGUGCACCUGAUGUGUGGUUCAGACUUAUAACUCUGAGAUCAAGGGUUGUAAACUCUACUGACUGAGCCAGCUAGGCAUCCCCUCUGUAUGAUCAUUUUUUUAAGUAGGCUCCAUGCCCAGCAUAAAGUCCAGUGUGGGGCUUGAAUGCAUGACCCUGAGAUCAAGAUCUGAGCUGAGAUCAAGAAUUGGACGCUUAACCAGCUGAGCCACCCAGGCUCACCUGUAUAAUCAUUUUUAAGCUUUAUACCUGUUGCCUCUCAAACCUUUCUAGAAACUAUGUGCCCAAAUAGGAUGAUGCAAGCUUAGCACUUCAAGAUGAUCUUCAACAUUUAUCUCAGAUGGGAAGUGCCUGAUAGUUCUCCCUCCUACCCUUCCCCAUACUCAUAUGUGACCUCAGGGGUUUCCAAUCUAUGUACUUUCCCUGAUAUGGGACAUGACAACCAGGAAGAGUCCUUUCUGACACCAAGGGGACAAAUCCACUAAAUAUGAAAAAAAAGCCAGCACAACCCUGACUUUUGAUUAGGAAUCCUUUUUGAAGAAAGACCUUGAUCGAAAGGGAGAAAUGCGAAAAUAAAGGAAACCUCAUUUAAGAUGGAGUCAGGAAGCCCUGAAGGGGGAGCUCUCAUGUAUUACUACUUGCUGUAAGAAGCCUCUCCCAUUUCCCAGCAGGAAGCAGCUUACUUUAUGUACCCCAGCCAGAGGAAGGAAGAAUUUCUUGCCCAGCAACAGCCCAGCCAGUAAGAACUCAGUGAAACAGCCCCUCCCAACUUCCUCUUUUCCCCUGUAAAUUAAGCCCCUCUCCUGUUUUCUGGGUUUGCCUUAGUUUGCUUGUCUUGAAUUAUCAUUCUUCUGCUAUUUCUGAAUAAACUCAUUUUGCUGGUAAAAUAA